RNAcentral lists this long non-coding RNA (1427 nucleotides) under Nicotiana benthamiana. Its description in RNAcentral is "long non-coding RNA (NBEN_LNC040975)". Lineage: Eukaryota; Viridiplantae; Streptophyta; Magnoliopsida; Solanales; Solanaceae. The record is from RNAcentral.
UGAUUUAAUUUUUUUAAAAUAGAAGACGGUUAGAAAUAAGAAUAUAACUCAGCUAAAAAUUAGAGUAAAUGCUUUUGUAUUAAAAAAGGUGAAAGGGGGACUUUAUUGCAUCAAAUUCAAAUACUUUAAGGGUACCUCGGCCUUUUCGGUUUAAUAUGUGGGGCCUAAGGCGGGGCCUUGCCUAGGGUUUACGGCUUAUUCUCUAAAUAUAUUCAAUCCUUGAAGAUCUGAAUAACUUUUUUAUUUUGAAUUUCCUUUUAAUUUAAUUGCUUCAAAUGAAUAUAUAGUGAAGUACUUUAUUUUUUUCUCUCAAAUUACCAAUUUGCUUUCAGUUCUCUGUUUACACAUAAUAGCCUUCAUGGGUUCUUCAUCGACGGAUGCUUUUCCCCAAAUUCAGGUACCCGCUAAAUAAUUGCUUCUAUUGUUAUUGUUCUGCAACACCUUAGCACUGUUAAUACCUGCUAGAAGAUUAUGUUCUUAAACUUCGUCCUUAUUCAAGGACACUCUUGUAUCAGCUCAUUAAUAUUUUUAUUGUUUUCCUUGGAGGAGGAGUUAGGAAAAGCAAAUUGCCGCUUGACUAGAUCAUCGUGCAUAGAAGGCUCAACUAGAUAGACAAGUCAUUUAGACGUAAGUAGUGUCAGUAGGACAAGAAAGAAAAGCUAAGAGGUCCAGGGCAUAUGUAGAGUUAAGGUGUAUUAGUCGUAUUGUCGCAGGUCGCUACUUAUGCUAUAAGGAUUUAUGCCAGCAAGGUUGAGAUAUAGCUGUAAAACUAUUAGGUUAAGUAAAUAGAUUAUGUAUGUCGUACCUAAGGGUGUCACAUAGCGGGAGCUUAGUGUGGUCCAACCCUUCCCCGCGCAUAGCAGAAACUUAGGUGCACCGGACUGCCUUUUUUUGCCUAGCGGUGUCACAUAGCCGUCAAUAAAAUAAGUGCAAAUCCCAGGAUUAGGGUUCAAAUUCCAACCGAGAAAAAAACCUUUAGGUGAUUUCUUCCUAGCAACCUAAACUUUGGUGGUAGAGUUACUCACUACAUGACUACAUGUGUUUGUGGGAGAUAGUAGCUACCUGGUGGAAUAGUCGAGCUAUGCGCCAACUGAUAUUAAGACCGUCAUUACUUAAAAGAAAAAACCUUUAUUAGAGGUAAAGACUUGGUUGAUACAAACAUAUGAACAUACAAAAGAAGACUUGCAGAUCUUGAGGACUCUAGCAAUGUGAACAAAAGCUUCUAUGGAGGUUUGUCUUUAAAGAAUGGUUAUACUAUAUUGGCCACCCUUUACAUCCCGGAGUCAGGACCUUGAUGGUUAGUUGAUUGAUUAAUUGAUAACUUGUAAUUAUAUCUUAUGACACGGAGAACAUAUUAUCAUAAAAUUAAAAGGCUGUUUGGUUAAGUUAAAUUUAAAUGACUUUUAGUAGCAAGUGCUGAAUAGGAC